CAGCCCCUCGAGUGGUGGGGAUGAUUAUUUGGCCUAAAGCGUCCGUAGCCGGCUCUGUAAAUCUCUCGUUAAAUCCAGCGUCCUAAGCGUUGGGCUGCGAGAGACACUGCCGAGCUAGAGGGUGGGAGAGGUCAGCGGUAUUCCUGGGGUAGGGGCGAAAUCCAUUGAUCCCAGGAGGACCACCAGUGGCGAAGGCUGCUGACUAGAACACGCCUGACGGUGAGGGACGAAAGCUGGGGUAGCGAAUCGGAUUAGAGACCCGAGUAGUCC
Molecule: ribosomal RNA, 270 nt
Filed under: uncultured archaeon
Lineage: Archaea
Description: partial 16S ribosomal RNA
Rfam family: Archaeal small subunit ribosomal RNA
Source: RNAcentral